RNAcentral lists this ribosomal RNA (254 nucleotides) under uncultured bacterium. Its description in RNAcentral is "partial 16S ribosomal RNA". It matches the Rfam family "Bacterial small subunit ribosomal RNA", at positions 524 to 776 of the family's 1533-position model. The record is from RNAcentral.
UACAGAGGUCCCAAGCGUUGUUCGGAUUCACUGGGCGUAAAGGGUGCGUAGGCGGCUUCUUAAGUCUGGUGUGAAAUCUCCCGGCUCAACUGGGAGGGUGCGCCGGAUACUGAGGGGCUAGAGUGUGGGAGAGGAAAGUGGAAUUCCUGGUGUAGCGGUGAAAUGCGUAGAUAUCAGGAGGAACACCGGUGGUGUAAACGGCUUUCUGGACCAUAACUGACGCUGAGGCACGAAAGCCGUGGGUAGCAAACAGG